RNAcentral lists this ribosomal RNA (253 nucleotides) under uncultured bacterium. RNAcentral describes it as "partial 16S ribosomal RNA". It matches the Rfam family "Bacterial small subunit ribosomal RNA", at positions 524 to 776 of the family's 1533-position model. The record is from RNAcentral.
CACGUAGGGGACGAGCGUUGUCCGGAUUCAUUGGGCGUAAAGCGCGCGUAGGCGGCUCGGAAAGUCGGUCGUGAAAUGCCGGGGCUCAACCCCGGGACUGCGUCCGAUACUCCCGAGCUGGAGGCAGGUAGGGGAGAUCGGAAUUCCUGGUGUAGCGGUGAAAUGCGCAGAUAUCAGGAGGAACACCGGUGGCGAAGGCGGGUCUCUGGGCCGUAACUGACGCUGAGGAGCGAAAGCAUGGGGAGCGAACAGG